GACGAACGCUGGCGGCGUGCUUAACACAUGCAAGUCGAACGGAAAGGCCCUGCUUUUGUGGGGUGCUCGAGUGGCGAACGGGUGAGUAACACGUGAGUAACCUGCCCUUGACUUUGGGAUAACUUCAGGAAACUGGGGCUAAUACCGGAUAGGAGCUCCUGCUGCAUGGUGGGGGUUGGAAAGUUUCGGCGGUUGGGGAUGGACUCGCGGCUUAUCAGCUUGUUGGUGGGGUAGUGGCUUACCAAGGCUUUGACGGGUAGCCGGCCUGAGAGGGUGACCGGCCACAUUGGGACUGAGAUACGGCGCAGAGUGCUACGGGAGGCAGCAGUGGGGAAUAUUGCACAAUGGGCGGAGGCCUGAUGGAGCAGCGCCGGGGGCGGGAUGACGGCCUUCGGGUUGUAAACCGCUUUCGCCUGUGACGAAGCGUGAGUGACGGUAAUGGGUAAAGAAGCACCGGCUAACUACGUG
Molecule: ribosomal RNA, 468 nt
Filed under: uncultured bacterium
Lineage: Bacteria
Description: partial 16S ribosomal RNA
Rfam family: Bacterial small subunit ribosomal RNA
Source: RNAcentral